AAAAAUUGAAUAUUAGUAAAAUUUGUUGUUGUUGUAGAAUCAAGAUCUUUUUUUUUUCUAUCGUCAGGGGCACAUGAUGCGUGAGGUCGUGACGAAAAGCUUUAUUUUUGUUCUUGCUCAAGCUUUAUUCUUAUCAUGGUGAUGAGGAAAAAAAAUUGGGGUAUAUCAAUUCAUCGGUUGAGUUCUUGGUUCCUAUAGUGUUGAUUUUGAGUUUUUGUUUUUAUGAGUGGAAGAUGGAAGAAAAGAG
This 247-nucleotide long non-coding RNA is filed under the name Trifolium pratense (red clover). RNAcentral's name for it is "long non-coding RNA (TPRA_LNC013199)". Lineage: Eukaryota; Viridiplantae; Streptophyta; Magnoliopsida; Fabales; Fabaceae. The record is from RNAcentral.